AUUUUAUCCUCUCACCACCUUUCUCCUCGCGGUUCUUAAAGAAGGCUAACCUUCAUUCACUUGAGGAGAGUUUCAUGGAAGAACACUCUUAAUUAUCCUUGCUGAAUGACUAAUGACGCUUUAAACAGUGGAUUUCAGUGUCUAACCAACAAUGUCAGUACAGAACAGUCAUUGGCUUUAGAAAACUUCUAAGGAACUGUACGUGACAUUUGCAGACUGAGAUGGUGGGAGUUGUGUAAGUGCACAGGAAAGUUUGGUCACUUAUAUUAUGUAACCCUGUAUGUAUAUAGAGAUUUUCUCCUCCACUUUGAAGAACUACCAGCUACGUAGACAAAAAUUUGUGCUAAUGUUGAUAUAUACAUAUUUAUAUGUACGGUUAGACAACAGAAGAAUCAGUUUGGACUUUUAUCUCCAAUGAAUUAAAAAUGGUUUCAGAGAAGUUCUAUCACCGUGAAA
Octopus bimaculoides (California two-spot octopus) is the source of this 456-nucleotide long non-coding RNA. RefSeq lists it as uncharacterized. The record is from RefSeq and is a predicted model, not a curated record. NCBI's taxonomy places the organism in Eukaryota, Metazoa, Mollusca, Cephalopoda, Octopoda, Octopodidae.